AUGGCGUCCGUCCCGGAGGCGCGGCCGGCGCCGCUCGCCGCCUUCGCGUCGCUCCUCGCCGCGCGCCGCUUCGGGGCGGCGAAGUCGAUGCUCCCGUCCCUCCUCACCCCCACCCUCCUCGCGGUCCCCUUCGCCGACCUCGCGGCCGGCUCCCUCCCGCGCGCCGCGCCGCGGCACGCCGUCGCGGCCUUCCACGACAUGCUCUUCCGCGCGUACGCAGACGCGGGCGUCCCCGAGCGCGCGGCCGAGGCGCUCGACCUCACCGUCUCCCGCCUCGGCAGCCUCGACCCGCGCUCGCUCACCUCGUCGCUGCUCUCGCUCCGCCGGACCGGCCAUCUGCUCCCCGCCGCCGAGCUCCUCAGGAAGGCGCUCGCUUCCUGCCCGGGCUCCAUCACGCCCCUCUCGGCCUCGGUCGUCGUCGACGGCUUCUGCAAGGCCGGCCGCAUGGACGACGCCCGCCGCCUGCUCGACGAAAUGCCAAGCCACGGCGUGAAGCUCAACGCGUGCUGCUAUAACUCGCUGCUCGACACCUACACGCGCCAGAAGAAUGAUGGACGGGUCGCGGAGGUGCUGAAGGAGAUGGAGAGUGGAGGCGUGGAGCCGACUGUCGGGACGUAUACGAUCCUUGUCGAUGGUUUGUCGAUGGCUGGCGAUAUCAGCAAGGUUGAGUCCGUGUUUGAUGAGAUGAAGAGGAAGAAUGUCGCAGGCGAUGUCUACUUCUACAGUGCGGUCAUCAAUGCGUAUUGUCGGGCUGGGAAUGUGCGGAGGGCGUCUGAGGUGUUCGACGAAUGCGUUGGCAAUGGCAUCGAGCCGAAUGAGCGUACUUAUGGAGCAUUGAUCAAUGGGUUCUGCAAGAUUGGGCAGAUGGAGGCUGCUGAGAUGUUGCUGAAGGAUAUGCAGGUGAGAGGAGUAAGACAUAACCAAAUCGUUUUCAAUACGAUGAUUGAUGGGUAUUGUCGCCAUGGCAUGGUGGACAAGGCCCUGGAAAUUAAGGCAGUCAUGGAGAGGAUGGACAUCCAGUUGGAUGUCUAUACAUACAACACGCUUGCGUGUGGGCUCUGCAGGGUGAAUAGAAUGGAAGAGGCCAAGAAGCUACUGCAUAUCAUGACCGAGAAUGGAGUUGAGUCAAACUAUGUCAGCUACACCACGUUGAUCAGCAUCCAUUCCAAGGAGGGUGACAUGGUAGAGGCAAGAAGGCUGUUCCGAGAUAUGGAAGGUAAGGGGUCAAGACCGAGUGUCGUAACCUACAAUGUCAUGAUUGACGGGUACAUCAAGAAUGGGAGCAUACGUGAAGCCGAGCGGUUCAAAAAGGAGAUGGAGAAGAAAGGGCUUGUUCCAGAUGUAUACACUUACGCAGCAAUAGUUCAUGGGCACUGUGUCAAUGGGAAGGUGGAUGUGGCACUGCGGUUGUUUGAAGAGAUGAAGCUGAGGGGUGCCAAACCUAACGUUGUGGCAUACACAGCUCUGAUAUCAGGUCUAGCAAAGGAAGGCAGAUCAGAGGAGGCCUUUCAGUUGUAUGACAAUAUGUUGGCAGCUGGAUUGACUCCAGAUGAUACUCUAUAUUCUAUGCUUGUUGGAAGCCUCCAUACAGAUAAAAGAAAACAUGAAAUCCCAUGA
RNAcentral lists this ribosomal RNA (1617 nucleotides) under Triticum aestivum (bread wheat). RNAcentral describes it as "partial small subunit ribosomal RNA". Lineage: Eukaryota; Viridiplantae; Streptophyta; Magnoliopsida; Poales; Poaceae. The record is from RNAcentral.